UGGGGAAUCUUGCACAAUGGGCGAAAGCCUGAUGCAGCGACGCCGCGUGGAGGAUGACGGUCUUCGGAUUGUAAACUCCUGUUAAGUGGGAAGAAAGACUCAUACCUAAUACGUAUGAGGGAUGACGGUACCACUAGAGAAAGCACCGGCAAACUUCGUGCCAGCAGCCGCGGUAAUACGAAGGGUGCUAGCGUUAUUCGGAAUAACUGGGCGUAAAGAGCGUGUCGGCGGUCCGUUAAGUCAACUGUAAAAGAGCUCGGCUUAACCGAGUAAAUGCGGGUGAUACUGGCAGACUAGAGUACGGGAGAGAAAGGUAGAAUUCUCGGAGUAGCGGUAAAAUGCGUAGAUCUCGAGAGGAAUACCGGUUGCGAAGGCGGCCUUUUGGCCCGUAACUGACGCUUAAGCGCGAAAGCGUGGGGAGCAAACAGGAUUAGAUACCCCCGUAGUCC
Molecule: ribosomal RNA, 449 nt
Filed under: uncultured bacterium
Lineage: Bacteria
Description: bacterial SSU rRNA
Rfam family: Bacterial small subunit ribosomal RNA
Source: RNAcentral